This 468-nucleotide ribosomal RNA is filed under the name uncultured bacterium. Its description in RNAcentral is "partial 16S ribosomal RNA". It matches the Rfam family "Bacterial small subunit ribosomal RNA", at positions 28 to 507 of the family's 1533-position model. The record is from RNAcentral.
GACGAACGCUGGCGGCAUGCUUAACACAUGCAAGUCGAACGGAAAGGCCCUGCUUUUGUGGGGUGCUCGAGUGGCGAACGGGUGAGUAACACGUGAGUAACCUGCUCUUGACUUUGGGAUAACUUCAGGAAACUGGGGCUAAUACCGGAUAGGAGCUCCUGCUGCAUGGUGGGGGUUGGAAAGUUUCGGCGGUUGGGGAUGGACUCGCGGCUUAUCAGCUUGUUGGUGGGGUAGUGGCUUACCAAGGCUUUGACGGGUAGCCGGCCUGAGAGGGUGACCGGCCACAUUGGGACUGAGGUACGGCCCAGACUCCUACGGGAGGCAGCAGUGGGGAAUAUUGCACAAUGGGCGGAAGCCUGAUGCAGCAACGCCGCGUGCGGGAUGACGGCCUUCGGGUUGUAAACCGCUUUCGCCUGUGACGAAGCGUGAGUGACGGUAAUGGGUAAAGAAGCACCGGCUAACUACGUG